GAGUUUGAUCAUGGCUCAGGAUGAACGCUGGCGGCGUGCCUAACACAUGCAAGUCGAACGGAGUUCUUAAGGAAUGCGGCUUCGGCCAAAUGACUUUUGAACUUAGUGGCGGACGGGUGAGUAACGCGUGAGCAACCUGCCUUUCAGAGGGGGAUAACAUUUGGAAACAGAUGCUAAUACCGCAUAAGAUUACAGUACCGCAUGAUACAGUGAUCAAAGGGGCAAUCCGCUGAAAGAUGGGCUCGCGUCCGAUUAGAUAGUUGGUGAGGUAACGGCUCACCAAGUCGACGAUCGGUAGCCGGACUGAGAGGUUGAACGGCCACAUUGGGACUGAGACACGGCCCAGACUCCUACGGGAGGCAGCAGGUGGGGAAUAUUGCACAAUGGGCGAAAGCCUGAUGCAGCAACGCCGCGUGAGGGAAGACGGUUUUCGGAUUGUAAACCUCUGUUUCGGUGACGAACAAAUGACGGUAACCGAGUAGGAAGCCACGGCUAACUACGUGACAGCAGCCGC
This 514-nucleotide ribosomal RNA is filed under the name uncultured microorganism. RNAcentral describes it as "bacterial SSU rRNA". It matches the Rfam family "Bacterial small subunit ribosomal RNA", at positions 9 to 518 of the family's 1533-position model. The record is from RNAcentral.